UGGGGAAUAUUGCACAAUGGGCGAAAGCCUGAUGCAGCGACGCCGCGUGAGGGAUGACGGCCUUCGGGUUGUAAACCUCUUUCAGCAGGGACGAAGCGCAAGUGACGGUACCUGCAGAAGAAGCACCGGCUAACUACGUGCCAGCAUCCGCGGUAAUACGUAGGGUGCAAGCGUUGUCCGGAAUUACUGGGCGUAAAGAGUUCGUAGGCGGUUUGUCGCGUCGUUUGUGAAAACCAGCAGCUCAACUGCUGGCUUGCAGGCGAUACGUGCAGACUUGAGUACUGCAGGGGAGACUGGAAUUCCUGGUGUAGCGGUGAAAUGCGCAGAUAUCAGGAGGAACACCGGUGGCGAAGGCGGGUCUCUGGGCAGUAACUGACGCUGAGGAACGAAAGCGUGGGUAGCGAACAGG
RNAcentral lists this ribosomal RNA (409 nucleotides) under bacterium. Its description in RNAcentral is "partial 16S ribosomal RNA". It matches the Rfam family "Bacterial small subunit ribosomal RNA", at positions 355 to 776 of the family's 1533-position model. The record is from RNAcentral.